CUAUCUUCAAAGCUGUAUUCUUUCCCAAUUUAAUAUAGCAUAACAAAUGUUCAAUUUCAGGCAGACACAUCCGAAUGUAGGAAUCUAUCUUCGACAAGGUCUUAAGCCUCCGUUCCAUGAGUAGAAUCAUGAAUUGGAUGAGUACGUGUUUUCUUCUUGAGAAGAGGAAUUGGGGACAUAAUCUCAGUCAAUGCUUUAGCCAUCAAAAUGAGCCUUUGCCAAAUAAAUCUUUCUGAAACCAAUAACGCUAACAAAGUAGAAAUCCCAGAAAUAAAGAAAAGCCCAGAGAAGCUAUGAAAGCUGAGACUGAGAGUUUCAGAAGAUAUUUCCCCAGACGAAACUUCUCCUCCAAUAUAAUUCUUUCCAAAAUAUUUUUCUUCAAUCUCAUUCAUUAUUCCACUUUCAAUCACAUCCAGGAUUGCUGUCGAAAAGUAAGCCGUGAGAUUGGAAUUUAACGGGAUUACAAAACCAAACCCAGCAUUUCUAUAUUCGGGGCCAGACAUAACGUAAUUGGAUCCGUAUUCUUGAAGGUAAAUUUUAAGGUAGGGAACUUCGUCGAAUAUAGCUGCAACACCCCCAUUUUGGCUUCCAAGCUCUAGAGCAUCAUGGUACUCAGCAAUGUUUCUGUACGGCCUUAGUUUGGAUGGGUCAAACUUAAAUUGGUCAAUCAAGACAUCGUAAACAAAAGACUCAGACUGGUAUCCAACGUAGUAACCCCUUCUCCUUAUAUCAUUAAGGUUCAGAAAACUGGGUCGCAGUUGAUCUAAGGUCAAUAUAGAAGUCAAGUUAGCAGUGUAACUUUGCAUGAGGACGAACGCCAGUAGAAGCCAAACCAUCAGCACAAAUCUUGAGCAGCUCUUUACCACUACUUCUCCUGAAAAUCUCAAAUUUUGAAACCAACAAAGAUAAUUAAUCCCAUAUAUAAAUUAUAUAAAACUGAAGCAUCAAUCAACAGCGUAUGUGUAAUUACUUUCAGGAAGAAUGGCUUGUGAUAAUGGAAACCACAAGAUGGUUGCAGGGCAAAGCUUUUUUUGAUUUGGAGAACCCUCUUGAUUAGGCAGAGCGUUCACGUUUCUUUCCAUGAUGAGUAUGGCAAGCCCUAUGAAGGUAGAGAUGAUGAUUAUGCUCAGCCAAAGAUCCCAACUGAAGGGUUUAACAAAAGUCCACAUGGUUUGAUCCCUCCCGUGUUUAACUGGUACUACCAUUUUAACACCUGAUGCAAUAUAUGGUACUGUGAAAUCUACAAACUUCGAACGGUUGGCCAGGAUCGUCACAUC
RNAcentral lists this small RNA (1277 nucleotides) under Vigna angularis var. angularis. RNAcentral's name for it is "Non-protein coding transcript". The record is from RNAcentral. Lineage: Eukaryota; Viridiplantae; Streptophyta; Magnoliopsida; Fabales; Fabaceae.